AUGCAAGUCGAGCGGAAACGAGUUAUCUGAACCUUCGGGGGACGAUAACGGCGUCGAGCGGCGGACGGGUGAGUAAUGCCUAGGAAAUUGCCCUGAUGUGGGGGAUAACCAUUGGAAACGAUGGCUAAUACCGCAUAAUGCCUACGGGCCAAAGAGGGGGACCUUCGGGCCUCUCGCGUCAGGAUAUGCCUAGGUGGGAUUAGCUAGUUGGUGAGGUAAUGGCUCACCAAGGCGACGAUCCCUAGCUGGUCUGAGAGGAUGAUCAGCCACACUGGAACUGAGACACGGUCCAGACUCCUACGGGAGGCAGCAGUGGGGAAUAUUGCACAAUGGGCGCAAGCCUGAUGCAGCCAUGCCGCGUGUGUGAAGAAGGCCUUCGGGUUGUAAAGCACUUUCAGUCGUGAGGAAGGUGGUGUAGUUAAUAGCUGCAUUAUUUGACGUUAGCGACAGAAGAAGCACCGGCUAACUCCGUGCCAGCAGCCGCGGUAAUACGGAGGGUGCGAGCGUUAAUCGGAAUUACUGGGCGUAAAGCGCAUGCAGGUGGUUUGUUAAGUCAGAUGUGAAAGCCCGGGGCUCAACCUCGGAAUAGCAUUUGAAACUGGCAGACUAGAGUACUGUAGAGGGGGGUAGAAUUUCAGGUGUAGCGGUGAAAUGCGUAGAGAUCUGAAGGAAUACCGGUGGCGAAGGCGGCCCCCUGGACAGAUACUGACACUCAGAUGCGAAAGCGUGGGGAGCAAACAGGAUUAGAUACCCUGGUAGUCCACGCCGUAAACGAUGUCUACUUGGAGGUUGUGGCCUUGAGCCGUGGCUUUCGGAGCUAACGCGUUAAGUAGACCGCCUGGGGAGUACGGUCGCAAGAUUAAAACUCAAAUGAAUUGACGGGGGCCCGCACAAGCGGUGGAGCAUGUGGUUUAAUUCGAUGCAACGCGAAGAACCUUACCUACUCUUGACAUCCAGAGAACUUUCCAGAGAUGGAUUGGUGCCUUCGGGAACUCUGAGACAGGUGCUGCAUGGCUGUCGUCAGCUCGUGUUGUGAAAUGUUGGGUUAAGUCCCGCAACGAGCGCAACCCUUAUCCUUGUUUGCCAGCGAGUAAUGUCGGGAACUCCAGGGAGACUGCCGGUGAUAAACCGGAGGAAGGUGGGGACGACGUCAAGUCAUCAUGGCCCUUACGAGUAGGGCUACACACGUGCUACAAUGGCGCAUACAGAGGGCAGCAAGCUAGCGAUAGUGAGCGAAUCCCAAAAAGUGCGUCGUAGUCCGGAUUGGAGUCUGCAACUCGACUCCAUGAAGUCGGAAUCGCUAGUAAUCGUGGAUCAGAAUGCCACGGUGAAUACGUUCCCGGGCCUUGUACACACCGCCCGUCACACCAUGGGAGUGGGCUGCAAAAGAAGUAGGUAG
RNAcentral lists this ribosomal RNA (1399 nucleotides) under Vibrio campbellii. Its description in RNAcentral is "16S ribosomal RNA". It matches the Rfam family "Bacterial small subunit ribosomal RNA", at positions 55 to 1433 of the family's 1533-position model. Lineage: Bacteria; Pseudomonadati; Pseudomonadota; Gammaproteobacteria; Vibrionales; Vibrionaceae. The record is from RNAcentral.